GUAUUUGAUUUUUCUUUAGGUGGGUAUCUGUUUGCUCUUUAUUUAGCUUCAACUUUGUAACCGCACAUUUACAUUUUCGCCUAUUUAUGCACGAUUGCAUUCUAUGCCAUUCAAGACUCAAAACUCUUCCAGAUUCAAUGAAUGUAUCUUGUACCACUUAGGUUGAUGCUGUGGCCCUCCUAGGAGAGAAGGGAGCUGUAGAAGCUGGCAGAGGCAGACAGAGCUCACUGCGGCCACGAUCUUCUGUGCUACAGACAAGGCCACCACUGCGCCCCUGCCUCCAACUGCUCUGCUGGUACCUAUGGAAAAGGCUCUUUCUCAGAUACCCCAACUCCUUCUGCAAUUGGAGGGCAAGCUAGAAUGAAUGAGCAUGGGUUUUGGUCCCAACAUCGGAAGAAGAACCCUAAUUCUUGCUGUGGAUGGUGAAUGUGGUCCCUGAGGUGAGGUGCAGAUGGCUGUCUAUGAAAAGUUACUCUUCAUACGCUUACAAACACAGAGCCUGGGUGAUUCAGAUAAUAUCUGUUCUGCUUCCACUUAGGAGUCUGGCAAAUGAAGGACACAAAAUAAAAUAUUUUUUAAAAAUGGUGCCUAAAUUUAAGAAUAAAAUCCAUGUCUAAGCACUUAAGCACUUAAAUAUGUGGUCUGAUUAAAAAAAAAAUUGGAAUCAAGAAAACACCAGCAAGGCCAGCUGGGAGGUGAUGACUUGGAGAAUUCCAUCCCUAAUUUUGUUGUCUAAAUAAGAAUCCAGGAAUAGGGCCCAGGAUCUCAUUUUGAACAAAAUAUUUGUAUGAAUGCUGCCUAGAGCUGGAAGGAUUAAAUUGGAUCACUGAUCUCCUCUGCACUGGGAAAUCACUAGAAUUUUUUUUAAAGCACUGCUCAUGUUAUUGGGCAUUCAGAAGAUUGAAUAUGAUGGUUGGGCAUUGAAAAGACACAGGAAGGUCUGUUCUAAUCCCCAACACAAAUGUUGGAGCAUGCUACCAAGCCCUACUGCCUUGACAUAGAAGGCCCAGGUGUUAGCAACCCAGAACCAGUGUAAGACACUGCUCCUUGCACUGACUCCAGCCACCCACCAGCCUGUCUGUCCA
This 1085-nucleotide long non-coding RNA is filed under the name Zonotrichia albicollis (white-throated sparrow). Its description in RNAcentral is "lncRNA (ENSZALG00000008961.1)". Lineage: Eukaryota; Metazoa; Chordata; Aves; Passeriformes; Passerellidae. The record is from RNAcentral.